CGAGUCGGCCGGGCGGUCGCGUCGGCGGGGAGACCCGCCGCCGAGGAACGUCCGGGCUCCACAGGGCAGGGUGGUCGCUAACGGCGACCCGGGGUGACCCGCGGGACAGUGCCACAGAGAACAGACCGCCAGCGGCUCGCCGCUGGUAAGGGUGAAACGGCGGUGUAAGAGACCACCGCACACCGGGUGACCGGUGUGGCUCGGUAAACCCCACCCGGAGCAAGGUCAAGAAAGGACGGCGGUUCGCCGCCGUCCCGCGCAGGCGUUCGAGGGCGGCCCGCCCGAUGCCUGCGGGUAGACCGCUGGAGCCUG
Molecule: RNase P RNA, 312 nt
Filed under: Blastococcus sp. CT_GayMR20
Lineage: Bacteria; Bacillati; Actinomycetota; Actinomycetes; Geodermatophilales; Geodermatophilaceae
Description: Bacterial RNase P class A
Rfam family: Bacterial RNase P class A
About the family: Ribonuclease P (RNase P) is a ubiquitous endoribonuclease, found in archaea, bacteria and eukarya as well as chloroplasts and mitochondria. Its best characterised activity is the generation of mature 5'-ends of tRNAs by cleaving the 5'-leader elements of precursor-tRNAs.
Source: Rfam by way of RNAcentral